Molecule: ribosomal RNA, 492 nt
Filed under: uncultured bacterium
Lineage: Bacteria
Description: partial 16S ribosomal RNA
Rfam family: Bacterial small subunit ribosomal RNA
Source: RNAcentral
AGUGAACGCUGGCGGUAGGCCUAACACAUGCAAGUCGAACGGCAGCACAGUAAGAGCUUGCUCUUACGGGUGGCGAGUGGCGGACGGGUGAGGAAUACAUCGGAAUCUACUUUUUCGUGGGGGAUAACGUAGGGAAACUUACGCUAAUACCGCAUACGACCUACGGGCGAAAGCAGGGGAUCUUCGGACCUUGCGCGAUUGAAUGAGCCGAUGUCGGAUUAGCUAGUUGGCGGGGUAAAGGCCCACCAAGGCGACGAUCCGUAGCUGGUCUGAGAGGAUGAUCAGCCACACUGGAACUGAGACACGGUCCAGACUCCUACGGGAGGCAGCAGUGGGGAAUAUUGGACAAUGGGCGCAAGCCUGAUCCAGCCAUACCGCGUGGGUGAAGAAGGCCUUCGGGUUGGAAAGCCCUUUUGUUGGGAAAGAAAAGCAGCAGGUUAAUACCCCGCUGUUCUGACGGUACCCAAAGAAUAAGCACCGGCUAACUUCGUG